This 254-nucleotide ribosomal RNA is filed under the name uncultured bacterium. Its description in RNAcentral is "partial 16S ribosomal RNA". It matches the Rfam family "Bacterial small subunit ribosomal RNA", at positions 524 to 776 of the family's 1533-position model. The record is from RNAcentral.
UACGGAGGGUGCGAGCGUUGUCCGGAAUCAUUGGGUGUAAAGGGCGCGUAGGUGGCCCGGUCAGUUCGUGGUGAAAGCGCGGGGCUCAACCCUGCGUCGGCCAUGAAUACUGCCGCGGCUGGAGCACUGUAGAGGCAGGCGGAAUUCCGGGUGUAGCGGUGGAAUGCGUAGAGAUCCGGAAGAACACCGGUGGCGAAGGCGGCCUGCUGGGCAGUUGCUGACACUGAGGCGCGAAAGCUAGGGGAGCGAACGGG